RNAcentral lists this ribosomal RNA (611 nucleotides) under uncultured bacterium. RNAcentral's name for it is "bacterial SSU rRNA". The stretch from base 1 to 535 matches the Rfam family "Bacterial small subunit ribosomal RNA", at positions 338 to 873 of the family's 1533-position model. The record is from RNAcentral.
CCUACGGGAGGCAGCAGUAAGGAAUAUUGGACAAUGCUCGCAAGAGUGAUCCAGCCAUGCCGCGUGCAGGAAGAAUGCCCUAUGGGUAGUAAACUGCUUUUGAACUAGAGAAAACCCCAGUACGUGUACUGGGCUGAUAGUAUAGUUAGAAUAAGCAUCGGCUAACUUCGUGCCAGCAGCCGCGGUAAGACGAAGGAUGCAAGCGUUAUCCGGAUUCAUUGGGUUUAAAGGGAGCGUAGGUGGACUGAUAAGUCAGUGGUGAAAUCUCCGAGCUUAACUCGGAAAUUGCCAUUGAUACUGUUGGUCUUGAGUACAGUUGCUGUGGGCGGAAUAUGACAUGUAGUGGUGAAAUACAUAGAGAUGUCAUAGAACACCGAUUGCGAAGGCAGCUCACAAAGCUGUAACUGACACUGAGGCUCGAAAGUGCGGGGAUCAAACAGGAUUAGAUACCCUGGUAGUCCGCACCGUAAACGAUGAUUACUCGCUGCUAGGGGGCAAACCGUUUAGUGGCUUAGAGAAGAGANAGUAAUACACCGNGGAGGACGCCGGCGACGAGAACGACGAAGAAGUAGAGGACGNGAGAGNGCGACGGACGACACGAGGGGAGGAGG